Molecule: non-coding RNA, 84 nt
Organism: Daldinia caldariorum
Lineage: Eukaryota; Fungi; Ascomycota; Sordariomycetes; Xylariales; Hypoxylaceae
Source: the annotation of a RefSeq genome assembly
GGUCCUUUGGCCCAAUGGUAAGGCGUCUGACUACGAUCACAAGUAUCAAUCAGGAGAUUCUGGGUUCGAGCCCCAGGAGGACCU